UACGUUAUCUAGUUAAACCUAGUUAUAACCAAACCCAAUAGCGAAUCUAUUGAACUUUUUUUUCCCAUAGCGCGGCGUGUGAGGGUUCUAUUGGGACAUAAAUGUAUUUUUGGCUAUUUAUCUGGACACAAGUGCUUGUCUCCUAUUCGGCUAGCUGAAAUUUGGUCGCUGCUAUUGUUAAUAAUGCUGAUUUAUUACGAGAGAAAAAUAUUGUUCCUUUGUUAAAAAGUACUACUUAGGGCGGUAGUUAUUUUGAGACGAAGAGAAUACUUAAUCACCCCUUUAUGUUUUUUCAAAUAGAUUUAUCAUGAAGACAUAUUAAGUAAUUAAAUCUACUACCCCUAUUUCAAAAUAAAUGUAUUUUUGGCUAUUUAUCUAGACACAAAGGGUACUGCUCAAGGCUGUAGAACUAACCUUUGGGAUGAAAGUCACCUCACUUUUCAAGAAGUCAACUAAUUUUAGUUUGACCAAAUAUAUGAAAAUAGUACUAAUAUUUAUGAUACCAAAUAUGUAUCAUUAGAUUAACUAAUCAGUUAAUAUGUCUUCAUGAAAAAUCUAUUUGAAAACACUAGUAUAUUGCCCGUGCUAACGCUACGGUAACAUUUAGAAAAAAAUUAUAAAACUAAAAUAAAUCAUAAAACUAAAAACAAACUUACCCCACUACCAAAAAAGUCUAUAUGAAAAUUACGGUACUUCAUUUGGGAACAUAUAUUUGGUUUUAACAAAUGCUACGUAGAAAAGUUAAGAAAAACAGCUGAUCUACAAAUACCCAUCAUUUAUCUUGUAAUCUUGGUAACAAGUCCAUAAAAAUAAGAUACUUGAUUGUAGUUAGUGUAGGCGUAUGCCUGCCUUACUGGACAAACAAGCAAGAAAAAAAAUUAUAGAGAUCGAUUAAAGGAAUAAUAAAAUAAAAAAUGCUUAACAAAAUCAGGCACCUAUCUUCAGUCUAUCACAUAAUGCCAAGAAGACAAACAAACACUAAAUUAUACAUAAGGCUAAAGAAAAAUUAAAAUACUCCUGUUCAGAAGUUUCAGAUGGUCUAGAUCAUUGUACAAAACUGCUCCAGAUAGGAGAACAUACAUAUAGAAUUUAUUUAUUCUCCCAUCACGAAUUAAGGGUGCAUAUAAAGUUGACAUUCUAGUGUGUAAUAUUAUACUCUCUCCAUUUUUGGCUGGUGCUCACGCUGGUAGGACUAUUUGCCAAGUUCAUCAAAGUUCCAAGAAAUUUUCAGUCUUGAUUACUGAACCAGGAGCAAAACCACAAAUUAAGGCCUGAAUAUUGAAGACUAAAUUAGCACCAAUUUUUGUAAUUCAGGAACAUAUUUACCAUGUCAAAACUUAGCAAUCACCAGAUAGAAUAUUUUACUAUAAGCAAUUUGUAUAAUUGUAUUGCACAAAUACUCAAACUGAGACCAUUCCAAGUCUUGAUAAAUUGAUCUGACAAUCUGGUAAAUUAGACUGAAAAAAAGUUAAUGAGCCCCAUCUAUUCUCACAUCAAACUGGUUCUGUUAUUCAAGUGAAAUAAUAUACUGCAUUAACAAACUCAUGCAAAUACUAAAGCCAUUGAUAGGAUAUUACUUCUUUACUAAUCUGAAACAGGAACUAUGGAAGAUAAAAUAGAUGGAACAAUCAAAUGCAGCAUGGAAAAAAUCAGAAAUCUUCUCAAGUUGGUAUGGGAUCCGCCCCCUAUGCCACCAUGGUCAAGAAAGCAGCAGCCACCCCUUUACCGCUGUGAUAUGAAGAUUUAUUUGACAAUCAUUAGUUUUAACAAAUCGCUAUUUUAUUUGGCAAGUUAAAAAAAUCUCUCUCCAACAAUUUAGUAUUCUAAUUUGGUAAAAUCACCAUAACCGUGGUUUUUUUCUGGGGCUAUUUGCAAAGUGAAUACAAAACUUUCUCGUAAUUAAUCAAACCCAAAUUAGAAAAUUCUUCUCUCUAGCAGUUUUACAAAGUGAACACAGC
This 1958-nucleotide long non-coding RNA is filed under the name Sorghum bicolor (sorghum). RNAcentral describes it as "long non-coding RNA (SBIC_LNC015485)". Lineage: Eukaryota; Viridiplantae; Streptophyta; Magnoliopsida; Poales; Poaceae. The record is from RNAcentral.